CAAAAGUUUUGGUCCUGGGCUAACCGUUGUUUUUUAUUAAGUUUAUACAUGCAAGUUUCAACACACCAGUGAAAAUGCCCACAAUACCUAAAAAGAUGAACGGAGCAGACAUCAGGCACCACUAAGAGCCCACAACGUCUUGCUACGCCACACCCCCACGGGUAAUCAGCAGUAAUAAACAUUGAACCAUAAGUGAAAGCUUGAUUCAACUAUAAUAUACUAGGGCUGGUUAAUUUCGUGCCAGCCACCGCGGUUAUACGAAAGGCCCAAAACAACGAUUGAUGGCGUAAAGUGUGGCUAGAGAUUUAUAUACCUUAAAUAUUAAAACCCGCCACUCAGCUAUAAAAUACUUAAGAGGCAGAGAAAACCAACACAAAUAUUUUGAUAAUAUAUUCUUGAAUACACGAAAGCUUAGAAACAAACUAGGAUUAGAUACCCUACUAUGCUAAGCACUAAACACUGAGAGAUCAUCCUACAACACUCUCCGCCAGAGAACUACAAAUGAAAAAUUUAAAACUCAAAGGACUUGACGGUGUCCCAUAUCAACCUAGAGGAGCCUGUCCUAUAAUCGAUAACCCCCGCUUCACCCAACCCUAACUAGCACCACUCAGCCUAUAUACCGCCGUCGACAGCCUACCCCAUGAAGGAUAAAUAGUAGACAGAAUAGCCCAAACGCUAACACGUCAGGUCAAGGUGUAGCAAAUGUUAGGGGAAGAGAUUGGCUACAUUUUUUAAUACUAAAAAAUACGAAAAGUACUAUGAAACAGUUCAUGAAGGCGGAUUUAGUAGUAAAAUAAAUUAGAGUAUUUAUUUUAACACUGCUCUGGGACGCGUACACACCGCCCGUCACCCUCCUCAAUAAUAAUUAACCUCAUACAUAAACUAAAAGUAAAAACAGAGGAGGUAAGUCGUAACAUGGUAAGCGUACCGGAAGGUGUGCUUGGACUAA
RNAcentral lists this non-coding RNA (949 nucleotides) under Takydromus sauteri (Koshun grass lizard). RNAcentral's name for it is "12S ribosomal RNA". It matches the Rfam family "Bacterial small subunit ribosomal RNA". The record is from RNAcentral. Lineage: Eukaryota; Metazoa; Chordata; Lepidosauria; Squamata; Lacertidae.